AUGGCGAGUUUUGGGAAACUUACGGACUACUUCAACCGUCGUAAGUCCCGCGAGGAGCUGAGGGGGGGCAGGAGCUCACGGAGGAGCGGCAGCUACUGCUGUACGGUGGCGGAGGCCAGGUCGUUGGAGAGGAAGCUGCAGAGGCCUCUAUUGGCCAAGUCCCGGACACUACCCAGCAUCCCCCAGUCCCCUACCGUGGCCAGGGUCCACCACUCAGACCUGAUUGGUGGGAGUCCUCCUCGCAGGACGUCUUUGGCCAGCAACAACAAUCAGCCCAAGGCCUGCACUUUGCCCCCUGAAGGGGAGCUGUGGCGUCUGGAGGACGACGUGGAGGACGAGGAGGAGGCGGGGCGUCUGUGUGCCGCCGCCCGCCCCCGUUCACAAUCGCCCUUCUCCCACUUCCGCACGCGCACCGCAUACCUGCGCAAGAGCGUCUCUGUGGACGACCCCCUGGGCAUGGUAGACUACUGCUCGUCGGCGCCCCUCGAGGGUAAAGGCAGUCGCGGCGGCAAGGGCAAGCUCAAGAGGAAGUUUGUAAGUACCCAACUUCCUGUCUUUCCUUUCAAAAGAGCAUAGAGAGAUUAUCCCAGCCAACACACAGCCACCACAAAAUGUUGGCUCAAAGUUAUGGGUAUCAAUGUGAUAUCAGUCUUUUUUAGUUCAAAUGACAACCUAGAGAAUUCGGUCCCUUUUCAAAUGACUGUAUUUGUGAUUGUGUCAUCCUUCACUUAACUGUGCACAUGUAAGUGUUUGCCAACGCACACACACACACUGGUUGACC
Molecule: long non-coding RNA, 781 nt
Filed under: Oncorhynchus mykiss (rainbow trout)
Lineage: Eukaryota; Metazoa; Chordata; Actinopteri; Salmoniformes; Salmonidae
Description: lncRNA (ENSOMYG00000057132.1)
Source: RNAcentral